RNAcentral lists this ribosomal RNA (253 nucleotides) under uncultured bacterium. Its description in RNAcentral is "partial 16S ribosomal RNA". It matches the Rfam family "Bacterial small subunit ribosomal RNA", at positions 524 to 776 of the family's 1533-position model. The record is from RNAcentral.
UACGGAGGGUGCGAGCGUUAAUCGGAAUUACUGGGUGUAAAGGGUGCGUAGGUGGUUGAUUAGGUUAUGUGUAAAAUCCCUGGGCUUAACCUGGGCAGGUCAUAUAAUACUGAUUGACUCGAGUAUGGGAGAGGGUAGUGGAAUUUCCGGUGUAGCGGUGAAAUGCGUAGAGAUCGGAAGGAACACCAGUGGCGAAGGCGGCUACCUGGCCUAAUACUGACACUGAGGCACGAAAGCGUGGGGAGCAAACAGG